Molecule: ribosomal RNA, 253 nt
Filed under: uncultured bacterium
Lineage: Bacteria
Description: partial 16S ribosomal RNA
Rfam family: Bacterial small subunit ribosomal RNA
Source: RNAcentral
UACAUAGGUGGCAAGCGUUGUUCGGAAUUACUGGGCGUAAAGGGCGCGUAGGCGGUCCGAUAAGUCCUGUGUGAAAUCCCUCGGCUCAACUGAGGAACUGCACGGGAGACUGUCGGGCUUGAGUUCGGGAGAGGGAAGCGGAAUUCCGGGUGUAGCGGUGAAAUGCGUAGAUAUCCGGAGGAACACCGGUGGCGAAGGCGGCUUCCUGGACCGACACUGACGCUGAGGCGCGAAAGCUAGGGGAGCAAACGGG